AUGCUUCAUAUUUGGAAAAUUAAGGUACAUUUAAAAGUAAAGAUCUUCAUGUGGUUUGUACACAAGGAAGUGAUCUUAACUAAGAAUAGUUCGGCAAAGCAUAGUUGGGCUGGUAGUAAACGGUGUUACUCCUGUGAUUGGGAUGAAUCAAUACAACAUCUUUCUUUCACUAGCAGAGAAAUGGUUAGUCUGCGUUUGACAGCACAGUUUUUUGAGAAUAUUGUGGUUUCUGAAGAAAAAAACAUGGUUUUGAAUACUUUGAUGCGUUUGGCUUCAAAAAGAAAAACAAAGUUUUGUAAACCACAGUUGCCAGAAACCAUGGUCUUUUGUUGUAUCUGGAAAAGAGGUCCGACCUCUUUUUUUUUAAAACAGAGCGGAGAGAACUCGCGGGGAGAUCGCAGUUGA
RNAcentral lists this ribosomal RNA (405 nucleotides) under Triticum aestivum (bread wheat). RNAcentral describes it as "partial small subunit ribosomal RNA". Lineage: Eukaryota; Viridiplantae; Streptophyta; Magnoliopsida; Poales; Poaceae. The record is from RNAcentral.